UAAACGAUGAGUGCUAAGUGUUAGAGGGUUUCCGCCCUUUAGUGCUGCAGCUAACGCAUUAAGCACUCCGCCUGGGGAGUACGGUCGCAAGACUGAAACUCAAAGGAAUUGACGGGGGCCCGCACAAGCGGUGGAGCAUGUGGUUUAAUUUGAAGCAACGCGAAGAACCUUACCAGGUCUUGACAUCCUCUGACAACCCUAGAGAUAGGGCUUUCCCCUUCGGGGGACAGAGUGACAGGUGGUGCAUGGUUGUCGUCAGCUCGUGUCGUGAGAUGUUGGGUUAAGUCCCGCAACGAGCGCAACCCUUGAUCUUAGUUGCCAGCAUUCAGUUGGGCACUCUAAGAUGACUGCCGGUGACAAACCGGAGGAAGGUGGGGAUGACGUCAAAUCAUCAUGCCCCUUAUGACCUGGGCUACACACGUGCUACAAUGGACGGUACAAAGGGCUGCAAGACCGCGAGGUUUAGCCAAUCCCAUAAAACCGUUCUCAGUUCGGAUUGUAGGCUGCAACUCGCCUACAUGAAGCUGGAAUCGCUAGUAAUCGCGGAUCAGCAUGCCGCGGUGAAUACGUUCCCGGGCCUUGUACACACCGCCCGUCACACCACGAGAGUUUGUAACACCCGAAGUCGGUGAGGUAACCUU
This 641-nucleotide ribosomal RNA is filed under the name Rossellomorea marisflavi. RNAcentral's name for it is "bacterial SSU rRNA". It matches the Rfam family "Bacterial small subunit ribosomal RNA", at positions 803 to 1442 of the family's 1533-position model. Lineage: Bacteria; Bacillati; Bacillota; Bacilli; Caryophanales; Bacillaceae. The record is from RNAcentral.